RNAcentral lists this ribosomal RNA (600 nucleotides) under Saccharomyces cerevisiae (brewer's yeast). RNAcentral describes it as "eukaryotic LSU rRNA". It matches the Rfam family "Eukaryotic large subunit ribosomal RNA", at positions 45 to 659 of the family's 3401-position model. The record is from RNAcentral. Lineage: Eukaryota; Fungi; Ascomycota; Saccharomycetes; Saccharomycetales; Saccharomycetaceae.
CAAAAGCGGAGGAAAAGAAACCAACCGGGAUUGCCUUAGUAACGGCGAGUGAAGCGGCAAAAGCUCAAAUUUGAAAUCUGGUACCUUCGGUGCCCGAGUUGUAAUUUGGAGAGGGCAACUUUGGGGCCGUUCCUUGUCUAUGUUCCUUGGAACAGGACGUCAUAGAGGGUGAGAAUCCCGUGUGGCGAGGAGUGCGGUUCUUUGUAAAGUGCCUUCGAAGAGUCGAGUUGUUUGGGAAUGCAGCUCUAAGUGGGUGGUAAAUUCCAUCUAAAGCUAAAUAUUGGCGAGAGACCGAUAGCGAACAAGUACAGUGAUGGAAAGAUGAAAAGAACUUUGAAAAGAGAGUGAAAAAGUACGUGAAAUUGUUGAAAGGGAAGGGCAUUUGAUCAGACAUGGUGUUUUGUGCCCUCUGCUCCUUGUGGGUAGGGGAAUCUCGCAUUUCACUGGGCCAGCAUCAGUUUUGGUGGCAGGAUAAAUCCAUAGGAAUGUAGCUUGCCUCGGUAAGUAUUAUAGCCUGUGGGAAUACUGCCAGCUGGGACUGAGGACUGCGACGUAAGUCAAGGAUGCUGGCAUAAUGGUUAUAUGCCGCCCGUCUUAAAA